GGGGACUAUUCUUGAUUAUCUGAGUCUUAAAUCCAAUGACAAGUGCCCUUAUAACAGGAAGGUAGAGGGCAAUAUGAGAUAGAUAGCAGAGAAGAAAACAGAGAAAAGAGGAAAACAUCAUUUACCAAAUCAAUGAGUGGAGUGAUGUGAUUAUAACCAAAGAAGACAGAAAUGCUAGUGGCCAACACUGGAAGAGAUGAAAUAGAGAGUAUCUGUAGUUAGGUAGAAGGUGGGCAAAAAUGGUGGAAGGAACACCCCAAGGAAGAGUCCGAAGUCUUUGAAGGGGAAUGGUAGAGACAUGGGCUGGAGGCAAGGACAGUGAUAAGUAAGUUACAUAUUGGAAACCUGGGAGCAGAACACCCUGACCUUGCGGCCUCCGACACCUUGGGCCUGAGAAAUCAAAAGCCAAAGGCGUGGACCAAGUGGUCUCUUGUUCCACCUCUGCCUCAGGGUAAUGUCUAGAAUCAUUAUGAUGCAUUUGCAUUGUGGGCACAACCUCCAUGAACAAAGCGUGCCAUGAUGAUUCCAGGACUAAUCUUGUAGGGUCAAAGACUCCCCACUCCCAACCUGUGGGAGGAGUUCCCCAAAUUACUGGAAGCAGCCUCUCCCACUCCACCCGUAACACUGCGGGGCUACCAGAGAGAAUGAAGCCCUACUGACACAUUGUUUUAAGACUUCUGGCCUCCAAAACUGUGAGGAAAUGAAUUUCUCUUGUCUUAAGCCACUGAUUUGUUGUGAUAGCUUGUCAUGGCAGCCACAGGCUUUGGAUACUGGGAAGUAGGGCACUGCUAUAACAAAUACCUAAAAAUGUGGAUGUGGUUUUGGACUCCGAUUAUGAGUAAAGGCUGGAAGAACUUGGAGAAGCACACCUGGAUUGCUUUUGAAAAGACUGUUGGCAGAUAAAAGGAUGCUAAAGUUCAUUCUGGCAAAAGUUAGAUGGAAUUACAGAGCAUGGUAGAGACAGUGUGUAAUGUUUUAGAGAAUAAAUGUAUUUUCAUAAUCGGAAUAUUGAUGGACAUCAAGUGUUAAAUGCACUGCAGGGAGGGGCUCAGAAGGAAAGGAGAAACACAUAAUUGGAAACUGGAGGAAAGACAAGCCUGGUUAUCUCAUGUGUAGAAACUUGACUGAAUUGUGUUUUCCCGUUGGAUGGAAAGAACAACUUUUAAGUGAUACCCUGGGGAGAUUUCCACAGUGUUGAAGAUGCAUCUUGAUACACUUACCUAUUUUGCUGUUCACAGUAAAAUGUGAGAGAAGAAGAUAAACUGAGGAAGGAACUGUUCAAAAAGCAAUAGCCUUGGAUGAUGGUAGAGGUUUUCAGCCUGUCCAAAUUGCAAAGGAAGCUAAAAUUAGGAAAUUCACUAGCAUGAAAGUGCACUCUGGAGGGAGAUCUGAGAGUGGGGCUGGACAACCUUAUGUGGAAAGUUUAUAAAUUAUGGAUCAAUUCAAAGACUUUAGCGAAAGCCAGGAGUGAAGAUGAGAUUAUCCAGGAAUGAUCUGAGGCGAGCCCCUCUUGUCCACUGGUCUGAUUAUUGGCAGAUACACAGGAGAGCCACAAAGUUGUUGAGAAUGUUACAUCAGCAGGGAUCCCACCAGUGUGGACUGGAUGGAACAAGAUAGGGGGAUAUGGCACAAAGCUGGUGGGCUUCCAAAAUCCUACAGGCAAGCAACAAGAGUAUAUACUCAGCUGCAAAGAUGUGUCUUCCUUCGAGGAAAUGGAAGAAUGACUCUGAGGCAGAAACAGAUGGAUCAUCGGACCCAAAAGGUGGAGACACAAGUGCAGACAGCGUAGCAGUAAGUCACAAAUGAUUAUGCUCAGACCUUGAAACCUAAUGGAACUUGUCUUGCUAGAUUUAAAACUUGCUUGGGACUGGUGAACCUUUUAGUACUUAGAAUUUCUGCCUUUUGGAACGAGAAUGUGUGUCCCAUGCUAGUCCCCCCACUGUAUUUUGGAAGCAAAUAAUUUGUUUUCUAGUUUGACAGGUCCACAAGUGGAGAACACUUCUGCCUCAGGAUAUAUCAUACUCAGAGUCUUAUUUAUACCUGAUUUAGGAGUUAAAUAAGAUUUUGAUUUUUAACCUCAGGAUAUGUAGAGGAUAUUAUGAACUUAGAGUUUGUGUUGUAGUGGGUUGAGGCUUCUGGGAAUUUGUAGAUGUUCUAGGUGCAUUUUGUGUAUGGGAUACACGUGAAUUUUGUGGGGUUCUCUGUGGUGGCUCCCAUCUCCACAUCUUAAAUCCUGGAAACUGUAAACGUUAACUUAUUUUGGAAAAGAGUCUUUGCAGAUGUAAUUAUAAUACGGAUUUUGCAAUAAAGUGAUAAUCCUGGAUUAUCUGGAUAGGACCUAAACAAAAAAGCAAGUGUCAUUUUAAAGGAAAGGCACAGGAACCUGAGCCAGAUAGAAGAGAAAAAGAGAGGGAGAAGAGGAGAAGGCAGUGUGGCCACUGAGGCAGAGAUUGGAGUGAUGUGUGGCCAUAUUCCAAGGAAGUAAAUGGCCAUUAGAAGCUGGAAGAGAAAACAAAUGGAAUUUGUCCACAGUGUCUGUAGGCAGUGAGACCCUGUAAACACAUUGAUUUUGGACUUAGACCCUCCAAAAUAUUUAGAGAAUAAAUUGAUUUUGUUUUAAACUACCAAGUUAGUGAUAAUUUAUUAUGGCAGCAACAGGAAACUAAUCCUCUCUAAUAAAACCUUUGCAAUUUAGUCUUAUAUUGAGUUCUCUUUCUGUGAGGGUCUGUGCUAACAUAACUGAGAUAGAAUAUUUUUGAUUAUCGGGAGCUGAGAAUCAGUAUUUUUAUUGUGGGUAUACUAAAUAGAAGAUGCCCCCAGCACAUUAAAGUGGGAAUGGGAUGUAAGCAGUUUGAUACAUGGGUCUGAAGAUCUGUGGAGAUGCCAAUCCUGGGAAAAUAAAUGUAGGGGACAUGGAUACAAAGAUGAUAUUUAAAGAUAGGGGCUGUUUGAGGUAUCCUACUUCAAACGGUGUUAAUGAGAAGUGUUAAGCUGGCCUGAAGUACUCCAGACUUCCACAUAUGAGGAGAAUGAGUUGGGGAAGGAGACUAAGAAGGGAAAGGUAAUGAGGUUAUGUGGCUUGUGCUCCAGAAAGCACCCAACUCCCUUCCAGUCUUCAACAUGAGGUUGAAUUCCCUCAUCCCCUAUCUUAGAUUCAUUUCCUUCCUUCCUUUCUUCUUUUUCUUCUUUAUUUUUUCUUUUUCUUUUUCUUUUUUUUUUUUUUUUUUUUUUUUUUUUGAGAGAGAGAGAGAGCAUGCAGGAGUGGGUGGGGGAGAGGGGGCAAUGGAGAAAGGGAGAUGACAGAGAAUUUGAUGCAGGGCUCGACCUCACAACCCUGAGAUCAUGACCUGAUCCAUAAUCAAGAGUUGGACAGUUAACCAACUGAGCCACUGGGGCACCCCAAUCUCGCUUCACUUCUGUCCUCCACUUUCUACUGGAUUCACCUUCACAGAAGUUAAGAUUGGUUUGUAUUGAUGGUGAUUGGUUUUUACAUUUUUGUAGAGUUUCUUUAAACUGAAACGUAUAUUGCUAUUGUUCUUUACACCCCCCCCCCC
This 3554-nucleotide long non-coding RNA is filed under the name Canis lupus familiaris (dog). Its description in RNAcentral is "lncRNA (ENSCAFG00000050212.1)". The record is from RNAcentral. Lineage: Eukaryota; Metazoa; Chordata; Mammalia; Carnivora; Canidae.